AUUGAACGCUGGCGGCAUGCCUUACACAUGCAAGUCGAACGGUAACGGGCCUUCGGGUGCCGACGAGUGGCGAACGGGUGAGUAAUACAUCGGAACGUGCCCGAUCGUGGGGGAUAACGAGGCGAAAGCUUUGCUAAUACCGCAUACGAUCUACGGAUGAAAGCAGGGGACCGCAAGGCCUUGCGCGGACGGAGCGGCCGAUGGCAGAUUAGGUAGUUGGUGGGAUAAAAGCUUACCAAGCCGACGAUCUGUAGCUGGUCUGAGAGGAUGAUCAGCCACACUUGGACUGAGACACGGCCCAGACUCCUACGGGAGGCAGCAGUGGGGAAUUUUGGACAAUGGGCGCAAGCCUGAUCCAGCCAUGCCGCGUGCAGGAUGAAGGCCUUCGGGUUGUAAACUGCUUUUGUACGGAACGAAAAGCCUUCUUUUAAUACAGGAGGGUCAUGACGGUACCGUAAGAAUAAGCACCGGCUAACUACGUG
Molecule: ribosomal RNA, 482 nt
Filed under: uncultured bacterium
Lineage: Bacteria
Description: partial 16S ribosomal RNA
Rfam family: Bacterial small subunit ribosomal RNA
Source: RNAcentral